CCUACGGGUGGCAGCAGUGAGGAAUAUUGGUCAAUGGACGAGAGUCUGAACCAGCCAAGUAGCGUGAAGGAUGACUGCCCUAUGGGUUGUAAACUUCUUUUAUAUGGGAAUAAAAUGUUCCACGUGUGGGAUUUUGUAUGUACCAUAUGAAUAAGGAUCGGCUAACUCCGUGCCAGCAGCCGCGGUAAUACGGAGGAUCCGAGCGUUAUCCGGAUUUAUUGGGUUUAAAGGGAGCGUAGGUGGAUUGUUAAGUCAGUUGUGAAAGUUUGCGGCUCAACCGUAAAAUUGCAGUUGAAACUGGCAGUCUUGAGUACAGUAGAGGUGGGCGGAAUUCGUGGUGUAGCGGUGAAAUGCUUAGAUAUCACGAAGAACUCCGAUUGCGAAGGCAGUUCACUGGACUGCAACUGACACUGAGGCUCGAAAGUGUGGGUAUCAAACAGGAUUAAAUACCCGAGUAGUC
RNAcentral lists this ribosomal RNA (460 nucleotides) under uncultured bacterium. Its description in RNAcentral is "partial 16S ribosomal RNA". It matches the Rfam family "Bacterial small subunit ribosomal RNA", at positions 338 to 795 of the family's 1533-position model. The record is from RNAcentral.